UCAGGAUGAACGCUGGCGGCGUGCUUAACACAUGCAAGUCGAACGAAGCACCUCUAAUCGAAGAUUGAGAAAGCUUGCUUUGAUUGAUUCACCUGAGGUGACUGAGUGGCGGACGGGUGAGUAACGCGUGGGUAACCUACCCUAUACAGGGGGAUAACAGUUGGAAACGACUGCUAAUACCGCAUAAGCGCACGAGGACCGCAUGGUCUAGUGUGAAAAAACUCCGGUGGUAUAGGAUGGACCCGCGUCUGAUUAGCUAGUUGGUGAGGUAACGGCUCACCAAGGCGACGAUCAGUAGCCGACCUGAGAGGGUGACCGGCCACAUUGGGACUGAGACACGGCCCAAACUCCUACGGGAGGCAGCAGUGGGGAAUAUUGCACAAUGGGCGAAAGCCUGAAUGCAGCGACGCCGCGUGAACGAGAAGUAUUUCGGUAUGUAAAGUUCUAUCAGCAGGGAAGAAAAAUGACGGUACCUGACUAAGAAGCUCCGGCUAAAUACGUGCCAGCCGCGGC
This 513-nucleotide ribosomal RNA is filed under the name uncultured bacterium. RNAcentral's name for it is "bacterial SSU rRNA". It matches the Rfam family "Bacterial small subunit ribosomal RNA", at positions 24 to 518 of the family's 1533-position model. The record is from RNAcentral.